ACGAACGCUGGCGGCGUGCUUAACACAUGCAAGUCGAACGGAAAGGCCCUGCUUUUGUGGGGUGCUCGAGUGGCGAACGGGUGAGUAACACGUGAGUAACCUGCCCUUGACUUUGGGAUAACUUCAGGAAACUGGGGCUAAUACCGGAUAGGAGCUCCUGCUGCAUGGUGGGGGUUGGAAAGUUUCGGCGGUUGGGGAUGGACUCGCGGCUUAUCAGCUUGUUGGUGGGGUAGUGGCUUACCAAGGCUUUGACGGGUAGCCGGCCUGAGAGGGUGACCGGCCACAUUGGGCCUGAGAGACGGCCCGGACUCCGACGGGAGGAACAAGGGGGGAAUAGUGCAAAAGGGGGGGAGGCCGGAUGCAGCACCGCCGGGUGGGGAGUGAGGGCCUUGGGUUUGAAAACCGUUUUCGCCGGUGAGAAAGGGUGAGGAAGGGAAAGGGGAAAAGAGACACCGGCUAAUUACGGC
Molecule: ribosomal RNA, 467 nt
Filed under: uncultured bacterium
Lineage: Bacteria
Description: partial 16S ribosomal RNA
Rfam family: Bacterial small subunit ribosomal RNA
Source: RNAcentral